GAUUGAACGCUAGCGGGAUGCUUUACACAUGCAAGUCGAACGGCAGCGCGGACUUCGGUCUGGCGGCGAGUGGCGAACGGGUGAGUAAUAUAUCGGAACGUACCCAGUAGCGGGGGAUAACUACUCGAAAGAGUAGCUAAUACCGCAUACGCCCUACGGGGGAAAGGGGGGGAUCGCAAGACCUCUCACUAUUGGAGCGGCCGAUAUCGGAUUAGCUAGUUGGUGGGGUAAAGGCCUACCAAGGCGACGAUCCGUAGCUGGUUUGAGAGGACGACCAGCCACACUGGGACUGAGACACGGCCCAGACUCCUACGGGAGGCAGCAGUGGGGAAUUUUGGACAAUGGGGGAAACCCUGAUCCAGCCAUCCCGCGUGUGCGAUGAAGGCCUUCGGGUUGUAAAGCACUUUUGGCAGGAAAGAAAUCGCACGGGUUAAUACCUUGUGUGGAUGACGGUACCUGCAGAAUAAGCACCGGCUAACUACGUGCCAGCAGCCGCGGUAAUACGUAGGGUGCAAGCGUUAAUCGGAAUUACUGGGCGUAAAGCGUGCGCAGGCGGUUCGGAAAGAAAGGUGUGAAAUCCCAGGGCUUAACCUUGGAACUGCAUUUUUAACUACCGGGCUAGAGUAUGUCAGAGGGGGGUGGAAUUCCGCGUGUAGCAGUGAAAUGCGUAGAUAUGCGGAGGAACACCGAUGGCGAAGGGCAGCCCCCUGGGAUAAUACUGACGCUCAUGCACGAAAGCGUGGGGAGCAAAACAGGGAUUAGAUACCCUGGGUAGUCCACGCCCUAAACGAUGUCAACUAGCUGUUGGGGCCUUCGGGCCUUAGUAGCGCAGCUAACGCGUGAAGUUGACCGCCUGGGGAGUACGGUCGCAAGAUUAAAACUCAAAGGAAUUGACGGGGACCCGCACAAGCGGUGGAUGAUGUGGAUUAAUUCGAUGCAACGCGAAAAACCUUACCUACCCUUGACAUGUCUGGAAUCCCGAAGAGAUUUGGGAGUGCUCGCAAGAGAACUGGAACACAGGUGCUGCAUGGCUGUCGUCAGCUCGUGUCGUGAGAUGUUGGGUUAAGUCCCGCAACGAGCGCAACCCUUGUCAUUAGUUGCUACGAAAGGGCACUCUAAUGAGACUGCCGGUGACAAACCGGAGGAAGAUGGGGAUGACGUCAAGUCCUCAUGGCCCUUAUGGGUAGGGCUUCACACGUCAUACAAUGGUCGGGACAGAGGGUUGCCAACCCGCGAGGGGGAGCCAAUCUCACAAACCCGAUCGUAGUCCGGAUUGCAGUCUGCAACUCGACUGCAUGAAGUCGGAAUCGCUAGUAAUCGCGGAUCAGAAUGUCGCGGUGAAUACGUUCCCGGGUCUUGUACACACCGCCCGUCACACCAUGGGAGUGGGUUUCACCAGAAGUAGUUAGCCUAACCGUAAGGAGGGCGAUUACCACGGUGGGAUUCAUGACUGGGGU
RNAcentral lists this ribosomal RNA (1457 nucleotides) under uncultured bacterium. RNAcentral describes it as "bacterial SSU rRNA". It matches the Rfam family "Bacterial small subunit ribosomal RNA". The record is from RNAcentral.